AAAUUUAGGUUAACUACAAACCAAGGACCUUCAAAGCCCUAAAUAGGACACCACCCCUAAUUUCUG
This 66-nucleotide transfer RNA is filed under the name Gekko palawanensis. RNAcentral describes it as "tRNA-Trp". Lineage: Eukaryota; Metazoa; Chordata; Lepidosauria; Squamata; Gekkonidae. The record is from RNAcentral.